GCGGCUACCAUGCAAGUCGAGCGGUAGCACAGAGAGCUUGCUCUCGGGUGACGAGCGGCGGACUUUUUGAGUAAUGUCUGGGAAACUGCCUGAUGGAGGGGGAUAACUACUGGAAACGGUAGCUAAUACCGCAUGACCUCGCAAGACCAAAGUGGGGGACCUUCGGGCCUCAUGCCAUCAGAUGUGCCCAGAUGGGAUUAGCUAGUAGGUGGGGUAAUGGCUCACCUAGGCGACGAUCCCUAGCUGGUCUGAGAGGAUGACCAGCCACACUGGAACUGAGACACGGUCCAGACUCCUACGGGAGGCAGCAGUGGGGAAUAUUGCACAAUGGGCGCAAGCCUGAUGCAGCCAUGCCGCGUGUAUGAAGAAGGCCUUCGGGUUGUAAAGUACUUUCAGCGAGGAGGAAGGCAUUAAGGUUAAUAACCUUAGUGAUUGACGUUACUCGCAGAAGGAGCACCGGCUAACUCCGUGCCAGCAGCCGCGGUAAUACGGAGGGUGCAAGCGUUAAUCGGAAUUACUGGGCGUAAAG
RNAcentral lists this ribosomal RNA (529 nucleotides) under uncultured bacterium. RNAcentral describes it as "bacterial SSU rRNA". It matches the Rfam family "Bacterial small subunit ribosomal RNA", at positions 46 to 565 of the family's 1533-position model. The record is from RNAcentral.